This 243-nucleotide ribosomal RNA is filed under the name uncultured bacterium. Its description in RNAcentral is "partial 16S ribosomal RNA". It matches the Rfam family "Bacterial small subunit ribosomal RNA", at positions 534 to 776 of the family's 1533-position model. The record is from RNAcentral.
GCAAGCGUUGUCCGGAAUCAUUGGGCGUAAAGAGCGUGUAGGCGGCUCGGUAAGUCCGCUGUGAAAGUCCAGGGCUCAACCCUGGAAUGCCGGUGGAAACUGUCGAGCUAGAGUCCGGAAGAGGCGAGUGGAAUUCCUGGUGUAGCGGUGAAAUGCGCAGAUAUCAGGAGGAACACCAAUGGCGAAGGCAGCUCGCUGGGACGGUACUGACGCUGAGACGCGAAAGCGUGGGGAGCAAACAGG